Molecule: long non-coding RNA, 1422 nt
Filed under: Malus domestica (apple)
Lineage: Eukaryota; Viridiplantae; Streptophyta; Magnoliopsida; Rosales; Rosaceae
Description: long non-coding RNA (MDOM_LNC000617)
Source: RNAcentral
CACCCUUACAACUACCCUACAACAGCACUAUCCAAGAAGAAGACGAGGAAAAUUAAAUUUUUCUUACCUCGGUGUGGUGCAAAGAAGACGAAGAAAGCAACGAAAAACGGUCCUUUGCACGAGCAAGUGUAGAAGAUUGCUAGGGGAGGGGGAACAAAUAUCCUUUAGUUUUCUCUCUCUUGUAGGGUAGAAUAAAUUGCUCUUUGAAGUUGAUUUAAUCAUCUACUUAAGGUAGACUUAAAUAGACUUUAGAAGUGUUUUAUUUUCCUUUCCUAGAAGGAUCUAAUUUCCAAUCAAAUAGGGAAUCUACAUCAAAAUAGGAAACAAUAUUAUGUUUCGUAAAGUAAGGGAAGAUCUCUACACCUGUUGUCCUUUCAUGUGAGUAGCCCAACAGGUGUGGGGGCAUUUGUGGAGCCAAAAAUAAUCAAGAAAAUUAUGGAGGCGAAACGUGAACUUUUGGAUGAAAAAGAUAAAAUUACCCUUAAGGCACACUGGGAUUCCCACGAGCAUGCAACAGACAAUAACGGCUCAAUCAAGGUCAAAGGUGAUCAAAAUGGUAUUUAUUCAAAACACUCUCAUCACUCCUCAUCAAAUCCUCACCCACAAGGUAACUCCCAAUUAUUCUUUUCAAAUUGGGAUUAAUUACCAAAUUAAUUGCAAGAUAUUAUUUGACAUAAUAUCUUUCCAUUAUAUUUAAAACACCACCAUAAGUGGCCGGUCCCUAUUUCUCCAAAUAGGGUCAGCCACACCCCUAUAUAUAGUCCCAUAUUUAUCCAAAAACCUAAGUUCAUUCUCUCCCUAAAAUUCUCUAAACACUGUCUCUCUUAAAUUAUAACUUUAGCAUUGUAAAUUAUCUUAACACACAAAUUUAACCCUCUUUUGACAAUUGUAGUACAAGUAUAAGUAGGGAUCGUUCUGGACCGGGGAUUAGGAGGGCUUGCUAAUAACCUCUAAACUGACUUAAAAACAUAAAACUAAACUUAAAAACACUUAACAAGAUUCACAAUACUCAAAGCAAACUUAAAAUACUCAAAACAGCUUAAAACAACCAAAUAAACUUAAACUAGACACUAGGAAUGACUUUGGAUGAAAAUUGAUUUUUACUUGAAUCAAAACACUUAAAAACACAAACUAAAAUAGAUUUGAAACACUUUGAAACAAGAAACUAAAAGGGGGGGUUUUGAUUGGGAUGAAGUUGAAACAAACAAACAAGUAUGAAAAACUAGACAGAUUGUAAAACAAAUUUGAGAAAUAAGAUGAUGGAUGGGAUAGUUAGAGGCUUUUUCUCCACACAUGACAUGUAUGCAAAUAACUUAAUUUCCAGUUAUUACUUCAUUGAAUUAUGAAUGACAAUGCCCCAAAUUAAUCGUGACAUCACUAGUUAACUCUCAGAUUUUCCUUGUUUUAUUGGAUUGGAUGACA